GACGAACGCUGGCGGCGUGCUUAACACAUGCAAGUCGAACGGAAAGGCCCUGCUUUUGCGGGGUGCUCGAGUGGCGAACGGGUGAGUAACACGUGAGUAACCUGCCCUUGACUUUGGGAUAACUUCAGGAAACUGGGGCUAAUACCGGAUAGGAGCUCCUGCUGCAUGGUGGGGGUUGGAAAGUUUCGGCGGUUGGGGCUGGACUCGCGGCUUAUCAGCUUGUUGGUGGGGUAGUGGCUUACCAAGGCUUUGACGGGUAGCCGGCCUGAGAGGGUGACCGGCCACAUUGGGACUGAGAUACGGCGCAGACGCCUACGGGAGGCAGCAGGGGGGAAUAUUGCACAGUGGGGGGGAGCCUGAUACGGCAACGCCGCGUGCGGGAUGCCGGCCUUCGGGUUGUAAACCGCUUUCGCCUGUGACGAAGCGUGAGUGACGGUAAUGGGUAAAGAAGCACCGGCUAACUACGUG
Molecule: ribosomal RNA, 468 nt
Filed under: uncultured bacterium
Lineage: Bacteria
Description: partial 16S ribosomal RNA
Rfam family: Bacterial small subunit ribosomal RNA
Source: RNAcentral